AACGCACAUUGCGCCUUCUGGUAUUCCGGGAGGCAUGCCUGUCCGAGCAUCAUGAAAACCACUCGGCACUCCGUUCUGUCGGAGCGCUGGUCUUGGAGCCUUGGGGCUGAGCACAUCUCAGCCCCUCUCCGAAAACCAAUGGCGAAGUUCCACAACUCCUAGAGCGUAGUAAACGUUAGUCUCGCUGGAAAGGGAGGUGGUGCGAAUUACUGCUGUCAAAAGACCCCCCUCAAAGGUUGGCCUCGGAUCAGGUAGGGAUACCCGCUGAACUUAA
RNAcentral lists this unclassified non-coding RNA (274 nucleotides) under Botryodiplodia sp. RNAcentral describes it as "partial contains 5.8S ribosomal RNA, internal transcribed spacer 2, and large subunit ribosomal RNA". Lineage: Eukaryota; Fungi; Ascomycota; Sordariomycetes; Diaporthales. The record is from RNAcentral.